AAUGAACGUUGGCGGCGUGGAUUAGGCAUGCAAGUCGAGCGAGAACCCGCAAGGGGACAGCGGCGAACGGGGUAGGAAUACGUAGGUAACGUACCCUCGGGGCGAGGACAGCCACGGGAAACUGUGGGUAAUACUCGAUAAACUUCCCAAUCAUUAUGGAAGGGGAAGCAAUGGGUGUGAUUCCACCUGAGGAGCGGCUUACGCAGUAUCAGCUAGUUGGUGAGGUAACGGCUCACCAAGGCUACGACGCUUAGGGGGUGUGAGAGCAUGGCCCCCACCACUGGCACUGAGACACUGGCCAGACACCUACGGGUGGCUGCAGUCGAGAAUCUUCGGCAAUGGACGCAAGUCUGACCGAGCGACGCCGCGUGUGGGAUGAAGGCCUUCGGGUUGUAAACCACUGUCAGAGGGGAUGAAGUGUACGAGAGUUAUCUCUUGUAUUUGGCAGAGCCUCAGAGGAAGCACGGGCUAAGUUCGUGCCAGCAGCCGCGGUAAU
This 496-nucleotide ribosomal RNA is filed under the name uncultured bacterium. RNAcentral describes it as "bacterial SSU rRNA". It matches the Rfam family "Bacterial small subunit ribosomal RNA", at positions 29 to 524 of the family's 1533-position model. The record is from RNAcentral.